UUAUUGUGGAAAUAAGAGUGUGUAGUUAAAUGUUAAGAAUAAGUGUUGUUUUAAGUAAAAUAAAUGAAAGCAAUAAGUAGAUAAUAAAGAAGUACUGUAAAGGAAUGGUAGGAUAUAAUAAAAAGUAGAGAUUGUUCUUGUACCUUUUGCAUUAUGGUUUAGUAAGAUGGAAGAGUUAAAUAGUGUUUCUCGAAACUGGGGGAGCUGUUUUAUUUCUUAGAUGUUAGUCAUAUUCAUUAUUAAGUGUGGCAGAACUUAAGUGAAAGAAGAAAAAAGGUGUGAGAUUCUAUUCGUACCCGGUGAUAGCUAGUUUUUACAUAAAGACAUUUAAGUGUUGUGGUCUAGUAAUAAUUGUUGUUAGUAAUAGUAUUAACAUUAUUAUUUUAGGCUAAUUAGACAGUAGAAGAUAAGCUCUAUUGAUUUAGGUGGGUAGUAAGUAGUGUCGUUAAGCUUAUAGUUGGUUAGAGGAUAAGCAGUUUGUUAUAAAUGACUAAUUGAGGGAUAUUAUAAAAUUUUGUUCUAUAAUAAUAUAUGUGGAAGUGUGCAAGGAAUUAUUAAUUGAUAGUAUUAAUGCUAAAAUGAGUAUUUUUGAGAGAUUUGUGAUGUUUAUUAGAGAUAAAGUAUAAGAUAUGGGCACAUGAUAAGAAGUAUUUGAAUAUUUUCAGAAGGAAUUCGGCAAAAUAAGUUUCUCGCCUGUUUAGCAAAAACAUGGCUCUUUGUUAUAAUAUGGAGAGUUGAGCCUGCCCGGUGAAUAGAAUUUUAACGGCCGCGGUACUUUGACCGUGCUAAGGUAGCAUAAUCACUUGCCUUUUAAUUGAAGGCUGGCAUGAAUGGUUUGACGGGGAAAUACUGUCUCCUGAAAAAUAUUAGAAAUUAAUUUUUAGGUGAAAAAGCCUGAAUGAGAUUAUUAGACGAGAAGACCCUAUCGAGCUUCAUUUUUAUAAGAGAUUUUUAGUCCGUGCUUUUAUUGAAAUUUGGUUGGGGCGACAAAGGAGCAUAUAAAACCUCCUUUAAUAGUUUGGCUAGAGAGUGAUGAUUAGGUGAUCCAAUAAGUUAUUGAUUAAAAGAAAAAGUUACCGUAGGGAUAACAGCAUUAUUUUUUUUGAGAGUUCUUAUCGAAAAAAGAGUUUGUGACCUCGAUGUUGGACUAGGGUGACCUGAAGGUGUAGUAGCUUUCAAGGGUGGGUCUGUUCGACCUUUAAAAUCCU
RNAcentral lists this ribosomal RNA (1208 nucleotides) under Novastoa caboverdensis. Its description in RNAcentral is "partial 16S ribosomal RNA". The stretch from base 635 to 1208 matches the Rfam family "Archaeal large subunit ribosomal RNA", at positions 1423 to 2666 of the family's 2987-position model. The record is from RNAcentral. Lineage: Eukaryota; Metazoa; Mollusca; Gastropoda; Littorinimorpha; Vermetidae.